AUGAACUGGUGUAAGUUUAUUGCCGACUUUCUCCAUGAUGCUUUCAAAAACAAGAUGUACCAGAAGGGUUGUCGUCUGCACUUAAUGGCGAGGGCACCAGUGGAACAUCUAAUUGGGCAGUUUGCAUCCGGAAUGACCGGCCUGCUCGGGAAGUUGGUUGAGGGGUGGACGUCCCUCAGUGCCUCUGACAGCGACGCGGUUGCGAGGCAGUUCACUUCAUUUGUCCCAGAACGUACACAUCGGCCAACCGGUUGCCGUGGCCGGUAUGACUACAACAGCUCCCAAGAGCCCGGUGACACACAGGAUGAUGUGGAUGGAGACGCUGGCCUCAGCAAGGACGACGACGAUGACACCGAUGACGAUGAACACGCUGAAGUUCACACAUGCGGCAACAAGGGCAAGGAUGCAACAGGUGCCCACCCACUGGAGAAAGUGAAAGAACAUACGGCUGCGAGAGGCGAGGGGGUUUUGCCAUCAAGGAGGGGGAGGGCUCCAGAGGAUGUUGGGCAGGGUUCUGCUAGCAAGAGGUCUAGGAUCGAUCCCGUAGCUGCCAGGAAGAGUGAGCCGACCGCUGGUGGACGAGCAGCUACGAAGAAACAGGCGCCAACGCCAACCCGUGUUUCUGCUCACUUGAACAAAGGUGCCCCCAUUGCCGGUGACAUCCCUUCCACCAGGUCUUCUGCUCGUACGAUGACGACCAACACCGGGGAUCCUGUCGUGUUGCCUGACCUGAGGAAGGCAGUCAAGAAGGUGAAGAAGACUACUACGCGCGGGGCCAAGCAUAUCAGUAGAGACCCACUCGAACGCCUGCAUUCAAAGUUGUCAACAGGUGGCAACUCAGAUGUACAUGAGGCGCCAGGCGACAACACUGCUGCUGCACCGUCAACUGCUCCCACUAACUCUGAUGCAAGUGGCCGACCAUCUCCGCCGGCUGCAGAUGUGCAGGCUAGAACAACAGGCAUCCGUACAUCGGGGAGUGACGAGUCGGUAUCCGCCAGGACAGCUGAAAUAUUGCCAACUCUUCUGGCAAUGAAGGAUGCUGCUGUGAGCCAUGCCACCCCAUCAGCAAGCGUCGAAGUGGAUGCUCCCGAGACCAACCUAGGCAAGGAAGAUUCCCGCUCAUCUGACACUGAUCCCAAGCGCGUGCCUGGUGUCUCACCUGUGUCCAUAACAGAAGCGGCUGAGGCGGCACUUCACAAGGAUAUGCCAUCUGCAGAUGAGAAUCCUGGCACAAUAGCUCCAGCUCCUGUCGGUGGAGAUACUGCUAAGGCGACCGUUCCGCGUGCUGGUCUUCCACCUAGGCGUCGUAGCCCCCGCAAGCAAUCAACAGACAUACCCAACGCUCCGGCUGUAGCUAGGAGCAGGAGAGACGAAUCUGGUUAUGUUCCUGCGUCCACACUAUUCCCGCCACCUGCAAAAAUCAAUGUGAUGGAGAAACCGCAAGACCGGAGCACAACUGAUGCAGGUGUCAAGCCGGGCACGAGUGACGCAGAGGAACGCCCGGAGCAGACUGCGCCUUGA
RNAcentral lists this ribosomal RNA (1521 nucleotides) under Triticum aestivum (bread wheat). RNAcentral describes it as "partial small subunit ribosomal RNA". Lineage: Eukaryota; Viridiplantae; Streptophyta; Magnoliopsida; Poales; Poaceae. The record is from RNAcentral.